Brienomyrus brachyistius is the source of this 1478-nucleotide long non-coding RNA. RefSeq lists it as uncharacterized. The record is from RefSeq and is a predicted model, not a curated record. The transcript has 3 exons. NCBI's taxonomy places the organism in Eukaryota, Metazoa, Chordata, Actinopteri, Osteoglossiformes, Mormyridae.
CACUGUUGCCUCACACCUCUGGGACCCGGGUUCAAAUCUCUGCCUGAGUCACAUGUGUGUGGAGUUUGCAUGUUCUCCCCAUGUUGUCGUGGGGUUUCCUCCAGGUACUCCAGUUUCCCCCCACAGUCCAAAAACAUGCUGAGGCUAAUUGGAGUUGCUAAAUUGCCCGUAGGUGUGCAUGUGUGUGUGAAUGGUGUGUGAGUUUGCCCUGCGAUGGGCUAGCCCCCCAUCCUGGGUUGUUCCCUGCCUUGUGCCCAUUGCCUCCGGGAUAGGCUCCGUACCCCCCACGACCCAGUAGGAUAAGCGGUUUGGAAAAUGGAUGGAUGGAUGGAUGGAUGAUAAACAAUUUUUAACAUAAUCUACACAGCAAAAAAAACUGAUGAUCCACAACACCAUUGACUUCUAGCUAAAUGUCAGAAAAUUGCACUAAAUGUUGAAAAAGUGGCAAGUAAAAAAAUGUUUGUUACCUUUACAAACUGCGCCCCAUAUUAAGUGUGCCAAAUAUUCAAGUUUUAAAUCAAAACCACAUAUAAAACAUAACAGUAACUCCUUGUCUUUCCUCUCCAUCAAAUGCCCCACACAUCACUGAUUGGACUACUUUUCGCUGUGAAUUCUGGGAUUUUGUGCGACGUCACGACCAUAGCUCACGUUUCUUACAACCAUAAGUAAAGUAUUGCUGUCUGUUCAAAAUCUUUAACAGUCUUUAACAUGUUUCUCUUGAAAAUGACUGUGUACCUCAGGAUAAUCAACCGACUCCUGCCAAAUGGGGCAGUCAGUGUCCCGGUUGCUUUGGCAGACACCCCUGGUUCCAUUGGCCAUGGUAAGGAUGGCAAGAUGAUGCUCAGACGAACUAAGCAUUUGAAGAAUUAAGGCCAGAAUAGGGCUGUCUGGUCUUGUUGAGUCUUGUGUUUGGUUAUAAUUAUCUUAUUUUGGAAGUGUAUGUCUUGGGAUAAUAAAUAAUGAAAAGGGAUGGAUGGAUUUUUUUAAUGUAAUAAAUCAAGUUGUAUUCUUGACAUACCCAGCAGAAUAGAACAGAGAUGCUUUAUUCAUCCUUGUGGGUAAGUUGUCUUUUAACCUACGCCAUCGUGCUCUCCAUGAGACACACUGUGUGUGUGAAUGGUAUGUGUGCCCUGUGCUGGGUUGGCGCCCCGUCCUGGGAAACUCCCUGCCUUGUGCCUAUUGCUUCUGGGCUCUGGACUCCCGUGAAACAGCACAGGACAAGUGGGUGUGAAAAAUCACAAUCAUCAGCUCAAUAUCUAAGGAAGAGUUUAUUACUGAUAACUGGAAAUGAUACAUAAUGUAUUUUGCUUUUUAAGUACAGUAACAAGCCUCACAAGGUGUCAGGUCAUACAUCUAAGUAUCUGGCACAAUUAAAUGUCAGUCGGUGUCAGAAAUUGGAUCAAGACAUUAAUCCACAAAGAAGAAGCCCUAGAAAGCUGGAUUCCAAAUAAUUAAAGCUAAUUUGUUUGAUAUUAGAA